This 120-nucleotide ribosomal RNA is filed under the name Aigarchaeota archaeon. The record is from RNAcentral. RNAcentral also lists the same sequence under 1 other name. Lineage: Archaea; Thermoproteati; Nitrososphaerota.
GCUGCCGGCCAUAGAACGGAGGGAAACGCCCGGUCUCGUCCGAUCCCGGAAGCUAAGCCUUCGUUCGCCCAGGCGUUAGCGUGGUGGGAAACCACACGUGAAAUCUGGGUGCUGGCAGCU